UACAGAGGUCUCAAGCGCUGUUCGGAUUCAUUGGGCGUAAAGGGUGCGUAGGCGGCGCGGUAAGUCGGGUGUGAAAUCUCGGAGCUUAACUCUGAAACUGCAUUCGAUACUGCCGUGCUUGAGGACUGGAGAGGAGACUGGAAUUUACGGUGUAGCGGUGAAAUGCGUAGAUAUCGUAAGGAAGACCAGUGGCGAAGGCGGGUCUCUGGACAGUUCCUGACGCUGAGGCACGAAGGUCAGGGGAGCAAACGGG
RNAcentral lists this ribosomal RNA (253 nucleotides) under uncultured bacterium. RNAcentral's name for it is "partial 16S ribosomal RNA". It matches the Rfam family "Bacterial small subunit ribosomal RNA", at positions 524 to 776 of the family's 1533-position model. The record is from RNAcentral.